AACGAUGGAACCUUUUGGAAUCUAAUACGUGAAUCUCUUAUAACAUCGAGCCCCUAAUUCUUUUACUCUUUAACAGGAGGGAAGGAUUUGGGUAAGGCUAUAGAUGUAAGGGACGAGAAUCGUAUUGGAGAGGUCAGCAUCAGUUACGAAGGAAAGAUUAGGGAUGCAGAAGGUAGGUCCCCCGUGGACUGUUUUAUAGAUGCAUCAUUUAAUAUACUUUCCUUUGUGACUGACGUGUACUUAUAGCAUGGAAUAUUCGGGCUACACUCUCUUUUGGGAGUACUCGAGUUCUGUGAUGCUGGCUGAAACGGUUUCAACCGACCCGUCUUGAAACACGGACCAAGGAGUCUAACAUAUGUGCGAGUAUGCGGGUGGCAAACCUGUAUGCGUAAUGAAAGUAAGAGUAGGGAGAAGGGUAACAUCUUUUUAGAGGGAUGUUAUGCUUUGCACCUACGACCGACCACGAUCUCAGAGAGAGGUUUGAGUUGGAGCAUAUCUGUUAGGACCCGAAAGAUGGUGAACUAUGCCUGGGUAGAAUGAAGUCAGGGGAAACCCUGAUGGAGGUUCGUAGCGAUACUGACGUGCAAAUCGUUCGUCAAACUUGGGUAUAGGGGCGAAAGACUAA
RNAcentral lists this ribosomal RNA (625 nucleotides) under Frenkelia glareoli. RNAcentral's name for it is "LSU rRNA". It matches the Rfam family "Eukaryotic large subunit ribosomal RNA", at positions 386 to 934 of the family's 3401-position model. Lineage: Eukaryota; Apicomplexa; Conoidasida; Eucoccidiorida; Sarcocystidae. The record is from RNAcentral.